RNAcentral lists this transfer RNA (70 nucleotides) under Ceyx erithaca (Black-backed kingfisher). RNAcentral's name for it is "tRNA-Lys". The record is from RNAcentral. Lineage: Eukaryota; Metazoa; Chordata; Aves; Coraciiformes; Alcedinidae.
CAUUAAGAAGCUAUGCACUAAGCACUAGCCUUUUAAGCUAGAGAGAGGGGAUUACUCGCCCCCUUAAUGA